ACACUCCUGCGGGAGGCAGCAGUGGGGAAUAUUGCACAAUGGGCGCAAGCCUGAUGCAGCCAUGCCGCGUGUGUGAAGAAGGCCUUCGGGUUGUAAAGCACUUUCAGCGGGGAGGAAGGCGAUACGGUUAAUAACCGUGUUGAUUGACGUUACCCGCAGAAGAAGCACCGGCUAACUCCGUGCCAGCAGCCGCGGUAAUACGGAGGGUGCAAGCGUUAAUCGGAAUUACUGGGCGUAAAGCGCACGCAGGCGGUCUGUCAAGUCGGAUGUGAAAUCCCCGGGCUCAACCUGGGAACUGCAUUCGAAACUGGCAGGCUUGAGUCUUGUAGAGGGGGGUAGAAUUCCAGGUGUAGCGGUGAAAUGCGUAGAGAUCUGGAGGAAUACCGGUGGCGAAGGCGGCCCCCUGGACAAAGACUGACGCUCAGGUGCGAAAGCGUGGGGAGCAAACAGGAUUAGAAACCCGUGUAGUCCCAUGAU
This 477-nucleotide ribosomal RNA is filed under the name uncultured organism. RNAcentral's name for it is "partial 16S ribosomal RNA". It matches the Rfam family "Bacterial small subunit ribosomal RNA", at positions 333 to 801 of the family's 1533-position model. The record is from RNAcentral.